AUGCGGAUCAUCUCAACGACAGAAUCGUUGAGCCUCUCUCCGACUGUGUCGUUGAGAAUAAAACCCUUUGGUGGUUUCUCAGUCAACACUGUCGUUGAAAAUAAAACAAUAAUUAAACAUGCUCUCCACAAUUAGGAAAGCAUAAACUGUUCACCCAAAAAAAAGGGAAGAUCUGAUUUUUACCAGUAAUAAGACUACAGCAUACUAAAUGACACAAGAUGUUCUUUCUCUAUUACCUCUUACAUUUGACAUAAAAGCAGGAAAAGGUUUAACAGUCUAUGCCUACAACAUAGAUUAUGAUAGAUCUCCAGGACUAAAAGUGCAAAAAAUUGCAAUCAGUAUAUCACAAGUAUUAUAACACACGCAUCUAAUCUGCUUCAGUGGCGAGAACUGGGUGAAUCCUCUCAAACAUUAAUCAGGAACUAGGCAUACCUAAUGAGUGUCAAGCUGAUACAGUAGAUGUACAGAAGAAUUUUAACACAAGGAAGUGAAAAGUGAUGUAAAAGGCAACUAAUACUUCCAUCUACCAUAGUUAAACAAGAAUCUGCAAAUGGUGAUAAUUGCAAUAAUCUUGAUAUGUUAAUGUUUGGCUUUAUAAUUAUAUGCC
Molecule: long non-coding RNA, 607 nt
Organism: Physella acuta
Lineage: Eukaryota; Metazoa; Mollusca; Gastropoda; Physidae
Source: RefSeq, a predicted model, not a curated record